UACGUAGGGUCCAAGCGUUGUCCGGAUUUAUUGGGCGUAAAGAGCUCGUAGGCGGCUCGGUAAGUCGGAUGUGAAAACUCGGGGCUCAACCCCGAGACGCCAUCCGAUACUGCUGUGGCUUGAGUCUGGUAGGGGAGAACGGAAUUCCUGGUGUAGCGGUGAAAUGCGCAGAUAUCAGGAGGAACACCGGUGGCGAAGGCGGCGUUCUGGACUGCUACUGACACUGAGGAACGAAAGCCAGGGGAGCAAACGGG
This 254-nucleotide ribosomal RNA is filed under the name uncultured bacterium. RNAcentral describes it as "partial 16S ribosomal RNA". It matches the Rfam family "Bacterial small subunit ribosomal RNA", at positions 524 to 776 of the family's 1533-position model. The record is from RNAcentral.